Molecule: ribosomal RNA, 500 nt
Filed under: uncultured bacterium
Lineage: Bacteria
Description: partial 16S ribosomal RNA
Rfam family: Bacterial small subunit ribosomal RNA
Source: RNAcentral
AUUGAACGCUGGCGGCAGGCCUAACACAUGCAAGUCGAGCGGAUGAGAGGAGCUUGCCUCUUGAUUCAGCGGCGGACGGGUGAGUAAUGCCUAGGAAUCUGCCUGGUAGUGGGGGACAACGUUUCGAAAGGAACGCUAAUACCGCAUACGUCCUACGGGAGAAAGCAGGGGACCUUCGGGCCUUGCGCUAUCAGAUGAGCCUAGGUCGGAUUAGCUAGUUGGUGAGGUAAUGGCUCACCAAGGCGACGAUCCGUAACUGGUCUGAGAGGAUGAUCAGUCACACUGGAACUGAGACACGGUCCAGACUCCUACGGGAGGCAGCAGUGGGGAAUAUUGGACAAUGAGCGGAAGCCUGAUCCAGCCAUGCCGCGUGUGUGAAGAAGGUCUUCGGAUUGUAAAGCACUUUAAGUUGGGAGGAAGGGUUGUACGUUAAUACCGUGCAAUUUUGACGUUACCGACAGAAUAAGCACCGGCUAACUCUGUGCCAGCCGCCGCGGUAA